This 254-nucleotide ribosomal RNA is filed under the name uncultured bacterium. Its description in RNAcentral is "partial 16S ribosomal RNA". It matches the Rfam family "Bacterial small subunit ribosomal RNA", at positions 524 to 776 of the family's 1533-position model. The record is from RNAcentral.
UACGUAGGGUGCGAGCGUUGUCCGGAAUUAUUGGGCGUAAAGAGCUCGUAGGCGGUGUGUCACGUCGUUCGUGAAAACCUGCAGCUUAACUGUGGGCGUGCGGUCGAUACGGGCAUCACUGGAGUUCGGCAGGGGAGACUGGAAUUCCUGGUGUAGCGGUGAAAUGCGCAGAUAUCAGGAGGAACACCGGUGGCGAAGGCGGGUCUCUGGGCCGACACUGACGCUGAGGAGCGAAAGCCAGGGGAGCAAACGGG